AUGGACAUGGCAGUGCUGCUGCAGCAACAGUCCCACCCAGACAAUUGGAAAAAGAUGCAGAGAGACUGAAAGCGGCGAGGAAGAGGGUUUGAACAAUUCAGAGUUCACCAGCAGUAAAAUAGACAUUUGUGUGAAGAGCCACCCACUGACUCGGGAGAAGUAGAGAAAAUUCUAGUCCAUGUCUGCCUGUGAUCCCAGUUCCUUUUCCAACAAAACAACUGUCUCACUGAACAACGUAGCAUGAAACAAGGAGGCCCAGAGGGGGAGUGGGCGGAUAUAGGAGGACCUAGGCUGCAUGUUGCUCAAUUAUCAUCACCAUGUGUAGCUAACACUAUAUUUCAAAGACAUGUGGUGCAUUAAUGAAAGAACAUUUUAACAGCUCUAGAGUAAAUCACAACCACUUCCUU
Etheostoma cragini (Arkansas darter) is the source of this 407-nucleotide long non-coding RNA. RefSeq lists it as uncharacterized. The record is from RefSeq and is a predicted model, not a curated record. The transcript is spliced from 3 exons. Lineage: Eukaryota; Metazoa; Chordata; Actinopteri; Perciformes; Percidae.